AAAUCCGUAUGAUGUGAACGUAAACUAGAAUGUGAAUUAAUAUU
RNAcentral lists this non-coding RNA (44 nucleotides) under Trypanosoma brucei brucei. Lineage: Eukaryota; Euglenozoa; Kinetoplastea; Trypanosomatida; Trypanosomatidae. The record is from RNAcentral.